This 365-nucleotide ribosomal RNA is filed under the name Candidatus Sumerlaeota bacterium. RNAcentral describes it as "partial 16S ribosomal RNA". It matches the Rfam family "Bacterial small subunit ribosomal RNA", at positions 1 to 362 of the family's 1533-position model. Lineage: Bacteria; Candidatus Sumerlaeota. The record is from RNAcentral.
UCCACGGAGAGUUUGAUCCUGGCUCAGAAUGAACGCUGGCGGCGUGGAUUAGGCAUGCAAGUCGAGCGCGAAAGUCCCCUUCGGGGGGCGAGUAGAGCGGCGAACUGGUGAGUACAAGGUGGAUAACGUGCCCCUCAGCGGGGGACAACCCUUGGAAACAGGGGCUAAUACCGCAUGAGCCCCACGGGUCCUCGGACCUGUGGGGGAAAGACUUCGGUCGCUGAGGGAGCGGUCCACCCCCCAUUAGCUUGUUGGUGAGGUAACGGCUCACCAAGGCCACGAUGGGUAGCUGGUCUGAGAGGAUGGUCAGCCACACUGGGACUGAGAUACGGCCCAGACUCCUACGGGGGGCAGCAGUCUAGAGG